UGAUAUACGCCGUGAUUUACAUGAUCGUGAUUUGGUUGUUUAAGCACAACAAGUGGUAUGGCAUAUACACUCUCACUGACCAUACAUUAACCAACCAAAUCGUGAUUAUCCUCACAACAAGUGGUAUGCCAUAUACUUCCUCACCUUCAGAAUAUUGUACCAUUUUGUGGGUUCAGUCCACUUACAAUUGAUAUUCCAAUGGAAUUCCCAUACGCGUAUGGUAGAUGCAAUACCAUUUUGUGGGUUCAGUCCACCUACAUUUUUCUAUAAUAAAAAGAGGUAUGCAUCAAUUCCAAUGGUGUUCCCAAAAUUCUGAUACAGUAUCUAUUGUACUGUAGGUUUACAGUACACAUAUUUUUAGAAGCAUCUACCUCAAGGAACAAUUGCUGACUUGGGUGACAGAAUCAUGACUGAACUAGAGCUCUCACCAUGUUUGAGUCAAUACAGGAAACCUCAAGCUACCUUCUAUCAAGACCUGAAAAUGCAGUGCUGAAAAUGGGAGCUACAGGUGGUUCACGUUUCUGCUAUAUUAUUUCUUUUGCAGUGAGCUGGCUCUGUGUUCCCUUUGGUAGCUCAAGGAGGCUCCUUUCAACGUUUGCAUGGUUUGUUCAGUUUCUGUCCAUUUUGUGUUCCGAUUUCGGUGGCCUCUUAAUUUUCUAUUUCUCGGUCUUGUUUUUAUGUAUAUUUUUCAGCUUUGCAUGGGAAUUCUUUUAGUAUUCCUGGGUCUUUAUGUUGAUCAGUUCAUUCACACGGUUUAUCUACAGAUUCGCCCUUUGCGGCCUUGUGGGUGAUGGUUCCUCUAGGAAACCGAUUAAUCUUCACUUAGUUUGUGCCAUUUGUUUUUUCUAAUCUAUAUUGUUUUCUGUGGGAUACACCUUAACUAUAGGACUUGCUUCUGCUCUAAGAGGUAGAACAUGCAGAUCAAAUUGCAGAAAUUCUACAACCAUGACAAAUUAUUAAUUUAACUUGCUUGACAUGGGCACAUGACAUAUACCAUGGCAUUGAAGGUUGAGUGGUGUCAAUGCCUUGGCAUCUACCUGUUGUAUCAGUCUAAGCUGAGAUAACCGGUCCUAUGUCAGGCGUAAUUGAGCUGCUAGAGUUACUAAAACAUGAAGGUACUAUUUUUCCUUUUCCUAAUGGUUUAACACAAUUGUUUAUAGCAUGUUUCACAAAUUAUUUGCAUGAAGUGCAAAACUUGGGUGCCCAACCAGGUUGAUCGGUCCCUUAGCUCACUGCCUGAUUCUUCUGUUGGAUCAGAAGAAUCAACGAUCAUUGCCAAAUUUUCAGAAUCAAGUUGAACCACUUUCAAAGAAAAUUAUGAGUCAGGUCCUGCCAAGAGAAGUUCAGGAACUGGCCCUUCACAUUGCAGCAUCGGCAUUAUCCAGUUUGUCAUGGGCUCAUGGCUAUUAAUAAAAGUCAGAGCCAGGCACUUAAUAGGGUGGGCGUCUACCUGCCAAAGCUGGCUUUUUCGCAUGGCCAGUUUUAUGUUGUGAUCUCAAGAGUGACAUGACGAGAGAAGGAUUGGAAGUGCUUGCGCUUGAUGAGUCUGGGAUACCAACGUGUAGACAAGAAAUAUAUUGAACCGGGGAGUAGUCGGUUAUCUCUAGACAUUGCUGCUUAUACAUAUUGUUCCAUUUGCUUUUGUGAAAAGCAUACUACAGUUAAAAUGACAGCUCAUCAGAUCUUGGUGAUACAGUGCAAAUAAUUGAUUAUGUGCUAGCUCCAUUUGCUUUUGUGAAAAAAGCAGCCCAUCAU
Long non-coding RNA from Lolium perenne, 1755 nucleotides. RefSeq lists it as uncharacterized. Lineage: Eukaryota; Viridiplantae; Streptophyta; Magnoliopsida; Poales; Poaceae. The record is from RefSeq and is a predicted model, not a curated record.